GAAGGUUGGGUAACACUAACUGGAGGACCGAACCGACUAAUGUUGAAAAAUUAGCGGAUGACCUGUGGCUGGGGGUGAAAGGCCAAUCAAACCGGGAGAUAGCUGGUUCUCCCCGAAAGCUAUUUAGGUAGCGCCUCGUGAAUUCAUCUCCGGGGGUAGAGCACUGUUUCGGCUAGGGGGCCAUCCCGGCUUACCAACCCGAUGCAAACUGCGAAUACCGGAGAAUGUUAUCACGGGAGACACACGGCGGGUGCUAACGUCCGUCGUGAAGAGGGAAACAACCCAGACCGCCAGCUAAGGUCCCAAAGUCAUGGUUAAGUGGGAAACGAUGUGGGAAGGCCCAGACAGCCAGGAUGUUGGCUUAGAAGCAGCCAUCAUUUAAAGAAAGCGUAAUAGCUCACUGGUCGAGUCGGCCUGCGCGGAAGAUGUAACGGGGCUAAACCAUGCACCGAAGCUGCGGCAGCGACACUGUGUGUUGUUGGGUA
This 485-nucleotide ribosomal RNA is filed under the name Salmonella enterica. RNAcentral describes it as "partial 23S ribosomal RNA". It matches the Rfam family "Bacterial large subunit ribosomal RNA", at positions 747 to 1230 of the family's 2925-position model. Lineage: Bacteria; Pseudomonadati; Pseudomonadota; Gammaproteobacteria; Enterobacterales; Enterobacteriaceae. RNAcentral also lists the same sequence under 1 other name. The record is from RNAcentral.